Molecule: non-coding RNA, 424 nt
Organism: Phascolarctos cinereus (koala)
Lineage: Eukaryota; Metazoa; Chordata; Mammalia; Diprotodontia; Phascolarctidae
Source: RefSeq, a predicted model, not a curated record
UGACUUGCCCAGGGUCACACAGCUAGUAAGUGUCUGAGGCCAGAUUUGAAUCCAGGUAGAUGAGUCUUCCAGUCUCCAGGCCUGUCAUUCUAUAUAUUGCACCAUCUAGUUGCUCUUCCCUCCUCGUACACAGGUCUCCUGUGAGUUCAAGCCAAAGUGAUGUCCUCUUCAUUGCUCACAACAGCUCAGCUAAACUGAGGUAGAGGCCUUGGUGAAGCGUCUUUGUAGAAUUCUUUGGAAGGCUGAAAAACUAGACAAAUGUGGUGAACACCCCUGGAGAGAUAAUUCUAUGGAGACCAGCCUGUUGUUGGAAGACUUGUUUGGCCCUCAGAUGCUGCCUCUAAAGAAAAAGGAAGAGGCACAUAUUAAAACACUGUUUAAAAAAAUUAAGUAAGUAAAGAGGAACCUUGAUCCUUGAACUACC